UUCGUUUUCCUAAAGUCACCAAUCAUCUUCCUACAACUCACUAACACAAAAUCCCUCACCUUCAUUCUCACGUUCUCUCUCAACUUCCUUUAAUCACCCACAUCAAAACUUUUCUCUUCCUCUUCUUACCUAAACAUUUAAGCUCUCUCCCUUUUUACACCAACACACUUAAAAAAGUCUUCUUCUCAUUCAAGCAAAAGUCAAGUUUCAAUCAUCCAUAUUCUGUUUCUGCAUUUUGAAUCAUAAGCAUGCAUGAUGAAAUUGAUACACAAUCCACCUAUCAAAUUUGUUGAGCAAAAUUUAUGCUAGAUAUGGCACCAUGCAAGCAAGUUAAAGAAGUUGCUUUCAAGAAAAGGAAGACGAAAGAUACUCCCCCAAGGUUAAAUGAAGAAAUAUUAUGUCAACUAGAAAAAAGGCAGCUACUUUUCGAAAGGAUAGUGUCGUUAGAAAUAGGCGACUACAUUAUUUUCCGAAAUGAGAUUGAGAGAAGAGGAUGAGAAGUUUUAGAAUAACCUUCAGAAAAUAUCAAUGCGGAUAUUGGUAAAGAAUUCUAUGUCAAUGACUACCCUUUUAAGGAUCAACCAGAACCCGAAUCUCUUGGGUCAGAGGUAUCGAGAUACCAUCAAUGCCUAUCUGGGAAACAUGUGAGUCAUAUAUGCUCUCGUGAGUAGAUCCAUGGAUGCAACAUCAAGUGCAGCAACAACAAUAAUGGAUGGAGAUGUUUCUCGAGUUUUUCGUGGUCUUGAAUUUCCUUCUCCUACACCCUUUACCACACACAAAUAUGUGGAUGAAGCUUUCGUUGAUCUUAGGUUUGAGUUUUGCAUGAUAGAGUGGUGGUAUGGUAACACCUUGUUCAGCGCAUAAACCAAUGAUUAAUGUUGGGAAGGCUAGAGGUCGCACAUUUGGUUUAUCCUUGGAAAUAUUGUGGAUUUGACUAGAAAGAAUUUUGGUUAUAUCCAUUCCUCUCCCUGUAAUUAUGUGCCAUAUCAGGUAAGCCACAUCUAUAAGCGUUAGAGGUGUGACUUUUAGGUAUGAUGUUAUCUAGAAUCAGCAAAGAGAGAGAACACACAAAAUUGAGAGAAAACCAUUGGAGAAAGCUUGGAAAUCAUUAUUGAAGACCAAUUUCUCUUCUUUUCAUCUUGAUCUUGUAAAACUACCAUGACAAUGAGUAGCUAAACCUCUCUUUGUUGGAAUUAUAUAUAAUCAAUCAUACUCUUUAAUGUCUCUUUUGAUUUAUAAUUAUAUAUUCUAGUUACUCA
Molecule: non-coding RNA, 1259 nt
Organism: Cicer arietinum (chickpea)
Lineage: Eukaryota; Viridiplantae; Streptophyta; Magnoliopsida; Fabales; Fabaceae
Source: RefSeq, a predicted model, not a curated record